Molecule: long non-coding RNA, 2324 nt
Filed under: Homo sapiens (human)
Lineage: Eukaryota; Metazoa; Chordata; Mammalia; Primates; Hominidae
Description: non-protein coding lnc-HIST1H2BI-2:1
Source: RNAcentral
CUACUUGAUUUAUCACAGGCUCACAUGAUUGCUUUCUUUGUUCAACAGACUCCAGAUGUUCCUAUAGAUAACCUUAAGGAACACGGUGCCUGGGACGUGGUUGCCCUCAGCAUUCCUUCUGGUGACAGAUGCAGUUGUCAGUUUGCCAACAUCCUGCUUUCAUGAGAACAGUUUGCUGUUUGCUCAUAUACCCUCCAGUGGUAUAUUGAGUUGGUCACGUCCCUCAUUCCUUUGGCCUCCAACAGGUGAAGGCUAAAGAAGGCUUUCUCAUCCAACGUCUUCACUGAGGAUAGGAAAGCCCUUUCUCUCCAAUUGUGAACUGCACGCAUGUGUGUAAGCUAUGCUUGCAUAGCAAAGUCCACUUGGGCAUUAGAGUCAAAGUUGUUAAGGGGAGCUAGUCAUAGCUACCACGUGGCCAGGCAUGUGGAACCAGACACCAGGCACACAUCAUGAAUCAUCAUAUUUACUUUAAAUAAUGCUGACAACCUAGUUCAUAGUGACACACUACUUGAGAUAUAUAGAAUAACAUUAUUACCCAGUAAGUAUGUGAACAUUCCGAUAUUUUAGUAAGGGUCAUCACCAUGGCACUUAUCUACAGAGAUAAAUGAAAACUAAAACAGGGUUGCUGCAUUAAUUUUGCCCUGGCAAUUGUCUGAUUCUGAAAUGGUGGCAGGUUUUGAGCCAAAACUUGAAUGAGUAAGAACUUGCCAUAUAGCCGAGAAGAGCACUCUAGCAAAAAGAAAUAAAUAUAAGGAAGCAUAAUAGUUAAAGGUUUUUAAGGAACUACAAAUAAUUCAGUGUGAUGAAGUAUGGAGGUGAGGUCAUGUGAGGGAGAGGGAUUUGGAGAGAAAAGUGGCUGUGUUCCGAUCACCUCCUGUGCACCUGUUGAAAGACAAUAAAUUCUCCUGCCCUAAAUAGUAAGAAGGCUGGACACAUGACCUCAACACUGAAUAAAUGAGACUGGCAGAAAUUUAUUAGUCAUAUGUACUCACAGCCUGGAAAAAAGAGGGCACUGCAUACCGUGCAAGGCCACAGAAGGUUUGCACUCAGGAACAGAAUGAACCAUUAGGGGCUGUGAGAGGUAGGCUUUGUAGUCAUCAGAGGGUUGGGUGACUCCUGGUUCCCUCCAGAGAAUGUAGUUGGCUUGCUUUAACAGUUUUAGGGACUGGCAGUGAGACGAAACCCAUUAGGUUGAGGCCUGAGUGAGAUGCAGCUGGUCUGUCAGAUAAGGGAACUGGACAAGUAGGGAACCUUUCCUGCUUGUGGGAGUCAUAGCUAUCAAGACAGGGGAAUUUGUGGAUAAGCAUUUUUGGGGAGCUCUGUGAGGGUCAAAAAUCUCAAGGCAGCAGUUGAAAUUUUAGGUCUUACAAUACCUAAAAUUGGUUUGGAGUUAUGGCAGAACAAAAAGGGAAAGAACAGGUCAUAAGGGCGUGAGUAUACAAGGCAAACACUUGGAUUUUAUUUUUCAGUGGGCAAUAGGAAACCACUGACCAAUUGUGAGCAAAGAAUAUUAUUCCAGUUCUCUUCUGAGAAAAAAAAGUCUCUGUCCCAUUCCAGGAGGUGCAGCAAUCAAUCAAUCAAUCAAUAAGGGGGGAAAUAAAGGAAAAAAGUCUUUAGAGUUUUCAUGUUUAUGAUCUGGUCCUUGAUUGGUUUAUUUUUCAGCAAGUCACUUCUUUUCUAACUUGGGAAAGGGAAAGUUUGGGACUGUAUAUAUUUAUUUAAAUCUGACCACUCCACACUAGUCAUCUCCACUUGAAUGUUCAAUACACAACUUGAAGUAAAUGCUGAAACAGAUUCUAGAUCCCCACCACACACAUACACACUCCACUCUCAAAAUGCUCUUUCUGAAGUCAUUCCUGUCUCAGUAAAUGCAAACUGUGUUGUUACAGCAAAAGAAACUGGAGAUAUAUAUGACUUUUCUAUUUAUUUCACACCAAUUUAAUCACAAACCCUUUAAAACAUACCCAGAAUUCAACCACUCCUUGAUACUUCUACAAACACUACCCAUAAUGGUUUAUGGGUCAUCCAGAUAUUAUAAUAGCCUUUCAAUCAAUCUUCUCCAGGAAGGAGAAAGAGAGAGCAACAAAGAUUUUUGCAGAAUAGAAGAAUAUUGUUAAAUAAUUAUCACAUUGGCCGGGCGUGGUGGCUCACGCCUGUAAUCCCAGUACUUUGAGAGGUCAAGGUGGGAGGAUCAGCUCAGGUCAGGAGUUCGAGACCAACCUGGCCAACAUAGUGAAACCCCGUCUCUACUAAAAAUACAAAAAUUAGCCAGGCAUUGGUGGUGGGCGCCUGUAAUCCCAGCUACUUGGGAGGCUGAGGCAGGA